This 417-nucleotide ribosomal RNA is filed under the name uncultured archaeon. Its description in RNAcentral is "bacterial SSU rRNA". It matches the Rfam family "Archaeal small subunit ribosomal RNA", at positions 580 to 997 of the family's 1478-position model. The record is from RNAcentral.
AGUACUGCCAGACUGGAACCGGGAGAGGUAAGAGGUACUACAGGGGUAGGAGUGAAAUCUUGUAAUCCCUGUGGGACCACCUGUGGCGAAGGCGUCUUACCAGAACGGGUUCGACGGUGAGGGACGAAAGCUGGGGGCACGAACCGGAUUAGAUACCCGGGUAGUCCCAGCCGUAAACGAUGCUCGCUAGGUGUCAGGCAUGGCGCGACCGUGUCUGGUGCCGCAGGGAAGCCGUGAAGCGAGCCACCUGGGAAGUACGGCCGCAAGGCUGAAACUUAAAGGAAUUGGCGGGGGAGCACAACAACGGGUGGAGCCUGCGGCUUAAUUGGACUCAACGCCGGACAACUCACCGGGGGCGACAGCAAUAUGUAGGCCAAGCUGAAGACUUUGCCUGAAUCGCUGAGAAGAGGUGCAUGG